Molecule: ribosomal RNA, 895 nt
Filed under: Flavodon ambrosius
Lineage: Eukaryota; Fungi; Basidiomycota; Agaricomycetes; Polyporales; Irpicaceae
Description: eukaryotic LSU rRNA
Rfam family: Eukaryotic large subunit ribosomal RNA
Source: RNAcentral
AGCAUAUCAAUAAGCGGAGGAAAAGAAACUAACAAGGAUUCCCCUAGUAACUGCGAGUGAAGCGGGAAAAGCUCAAAUUUAAAAUCUGGCGGCUUUGGUCGUCCGAGUUGUAUUCUAGAGAAGUGUUUUCCGCGUUGGACCGUGUAUAAGUCUCUUGGAACAGAGCGUCAUAGAGGGUGAGAAUCCCGUCUUUGACACGGACUACCAAUGCUUUGUGAUGCGCUCUCAAAGAGUCGAGUUGUUUGGGAAUGCAGCUCAAAAUGGGUGGUAAAUUCCAUCUAAAGCUAAAUAUUGGCGAGAGACCGAUAGCGAACAAGUACCGUGAGGGAAAGAUGAAAAGCACUUUGGAAAGAGAGUUAAACAGUACGUGAAAUUGCUGAAAGGGAAACGCUUGAAGUCAGUCGCGUUAUCUAGAACUCAACCAGGCUUGCUUGGCGUAUUUUCUAGUUAACGGGCCAGCAUCAGUUUUGACCGCAGGAAAAAGGCCAGGGAAAUGUGGCACCUUCGGGUGUGUUAUAGUCUCUGGUCAUAUACUGUGAUUGGGACUGAGGACCGCAGCACGCGCAAGUUGUGCUUAGGAUGCUGGCGUAAUGGCUUUAAACGACCCGUCUUGAAACACGGACCAAGGAGUCUAACAAACCUGCGAGUAUUUGGGUGGUAAACCCGAGUGCGUAAUGAAAGUGAAAGUUGGGAUCCCUGUCGCGGGGAGCACCGACGCCCGGACCAGACCUUCUGUGACGGAUCUGCGGUAGAGCAUGUUUGUUGGGACCCGAAAGAUGGUGAACUAUGCCUGAAUAGGGUGAAGCCAGAGGAAACUCUGGUGGAGGCUCGUAGCGAUUCUGACGUGCAAAUCGAUCGUCAAAUUUGGGUAUAGGGGCGAAAGACUAAUCGAACC